AACGAACGCUGGCGGCAUGCCUAACACAUGCAAGUCGAACGAGAACUUCGGGCCUUGUGGCGCACGGGUGCGUAACGCGUGGGAAGCUGCCCUUAGGUUCGGAAUCACUCACCGAAAGGGGUGCUAAUACCGGAUAAUGUCUUAGGACCAAAGAUUUCUCGCCUUUGGAUGGGCCCGCGUUGGAUUAGCUAGUUGGUAGGGUAAAAGCCUACCAAGGCGACGAUCCAUAGCUGGUCUGAGAGGAUGAUCAGCCACACUGGAGCUGAGACACGGCCCAGACUGCGACGGAGGGCAGCAGUGGAGAGUACUGGAGGAUGGGCGAAAGCCUGGUCCAGCAAUGCCGGGUAAGUGAUGAAGGCCUUAGGGUUGUAAAGCUGUAUUACCCGGGAUGAUAAUGACAGUACCGGGUGAAUAAGCUCCGGCUAACUCCGUG
This 433-nucleotide ribosomal RNA is filed under the name uncultured bacterium. Its description in RNAcentral is "partial 16S ribosomal RNA". It matches the Rfam family "Bacterial small subunit ribosomal RNA", at positions 29 to 507 of the family's 1533-position model. The record is from RNAcentral.